UACGUAGGGUGCAAGCGUUACUCGGAAUUACUGGGCGUAAAGCGUGCGUAGGUGGUGAGUUAAGUCUGUCGUGAAAGCCCCGGGCUCAACCUGGGAAUGGCGAUGGAUACUGGCUCGCUAGAGUGCGGUAGAGGAGAGUGGAAUUCCCGGUGUAGCAGUGAAAUGCGUAGAGAUCGGGAGGAACAUCAGUUGCGAAGGCGGCUCUCUGGACCAGCACUGACACUGAGGCACGGAAGCGUGGGGAGCAAACAGG
RNAcentral lists this ribosomal RNA (253 nucleotides) under uncultured bacterium. RNAcentral's name for it is "partial 16S ribosomal RNA". It matches the Rfam family "Bacterial small subunit ribosomal RNA", at positions 524 to 776 of the family's 1533-position model. The record is from RNAcentral.